Herpailurus yagouaroundi (jaguarundi) is the source of this 1890-nucleotide long non-coding RNA. RefSeq lists it as uncharacterized. The record is from RefSeq and is a predicted model, not a curated record. Lineage: Eukaryota; Metazoa; Chordata; Mammalia; Carnivora; Felidae. The transcript has 2 exons.
AAGAACAAGGGAGCUGAUGUCAGGUCUCAGUUCAGAAGUUGAGAGGUGGAACCAGACUCUGCUUCCCCCAUGCCUGCACCUGAGCAGCACCCCAUCACCAGACAAAAGCACACAACUGACUUUAUUUCAUUUUACAAGUACAACAAUAUGUCUCCUUUGGACACUCAACCCUGCUUGACAGUCUUAUUAUAAUUCCCCAGCACAGUCAUCUGGUCACUUUCUAAAACAACCAUUCACUCCUUCUCUUGUCUGGUUUCUGAUCGUGCCAACGAUCAAAGGAAGGAUGAAGGACGAUUAAACACAUCCUUACUUUAUUCCAUUUCUGUGUGAAGACCUGUAUGAACAGGAAAAUUAUUUUAGGAUAAGUACCUGUGCAAAAAAAAAGUCAACAUUUUUUUUGUGACUGAGGAAGCUGUCAUAGAUAAGUGAGUUGUCUCUGAAAUAUGUAAAACCUUUUUCAUAUGUAAAUAAAGUAAAACCUGGCAGCUUAGCCAUCUGUGGGAGUGUGAGAGCUCUUGAAAAAUGACUCAUUCAGUUAGGCAUAGAUGUGAAACCAUAUUUGAGUGUAAAAACUACACUUUUACAGAGCUACAGAGCUAAGAAUGCUGGAGAUCACCACACAUUCCUGCCAACAUAGUAUGUUUGCUUCUUCCAUCCUUUUUGGUUCUUUGGAUAGUCUAGUAAUCAAAUUAAUAUAGGACAGAUUAACAGAAGGAAAAUAAAUUUAAUUGCACACAUACAGGAUGCCCAUGAGAAGAUUAGACCCGAGGACAAUUGAAGCUUAAAUGCCAUCUUACACGAGGGGAUGAGAUAAGGGCCUGGAGUUUCAAAAAGAAGGAGGGUGAUUCACAGGAUAAUAAAAGGAGCAGAUGUUUGGUAAUUAGAUGUUUGUCCUGCCACACAGAUAGGUCAUGUAGAUGCAAAAGUUAUCUCUUGGUAAUAGCUCUCUUUCUCAAAUUCUUGUAGGUAGUUUAAGGGAGAGGUAAAGAUUUUUCUUGAGUCUGCUGGGUCUUGAUUGCCUUCAGCUCAAAAUAGCCCACAUGCCAAAGUGGCACACUUUGGGGAGAUGUUCUGAAAUAGUUCAGAUGUUGAGAAUAGAUGUGGGGUCAUUAAAAACAUUAACAAAUACUACAGAAGUGAGAACACUACAGGUAAUGAGUACUGACUUUUGCAAAUGGUCUGAUUUAGUAUGUAGAAUUGAAUAUUGAAGGGCCUAUAGAGAUCAUUUAGUUGAAUGCCAUUAAGAAUCUGAGACCAGCGAGAUUGAGUAAGUUGCCAACAGGACAUAGAGAGUGUGGGGCACAGCCAAGAUCAGACACACAGGCUAGUGACACCCAAUCUUCACCACUGUCUUCCGGCUGUCGUAGCUCCUUUACUGCUGAGAAAAAUCCUCUACCGAUUUUAGUGUAUUUCUAUUGCAUGUAAGCCUAAAAAAACCAUCCCGUGUAGGCUCAGGAAUUUAUUAUCAACUUGUGUGUUCCAGAUUACAUAUUCAAGCUUUUCUUACACAGAAAAUUGACAUCUCGAUAGUUUUCAUAAUAAGGUAUUUAAGAUAUUUUUCACGAGGUAAGAUAUGUAAGGCAAAUCACAAGGCUAUGUCUUUUAGAAUUAUCUUUUCACAUGGCAAUUUUUCAAAAGUGCAGUUUUGGUCAUUGUUUUAUGUAACUCACCUCUGAAGGAGUAAUCAAAAUCUCCAAAUCUGUGUUAAAGUGGAAAUCCUCCAUGGCUGCCCUCAUUUGAGGGAGGCAACUUUACUUGAUGUCUUACCUUCGUUCCCCCUCUACCCCCCAAAACUAAAGGACAUCAUUCCUAGGAAAGGUUGAUACCCUUCUGGUCAUUAAUUGGAGAAUCAGUUGUCUUUCUGGCAAACAGAGAAAUCUAUUUGAAAUU